GUCAACGGCCAUGCCACUCUGAACAUGCCCUAUCUCGUCGGAUCUCGAAAGCUAAGGAGGGUCAGGCCUGGUUAGUACUUGGAUGGGAGACCACCUAGGAAUAUCAGGUUCUGUAGGCA
RNAcentral lists this ribosomal RNA (119 nucleotides) under Pteropus alecto (black flying fox). The record is from RNAcentral. Lineage: Eukaryota; Metazoa; Chordata; Mammalia; Chiroptera; Pteropodidae.